CCUUCGGGUGUGAAUUAGCGGCGAACGGGUGAGGAACACGUGAAGAAUCUGCCUUCAACUCUGGGAUAACUCCGGGAAACCGGGGCUAAUACCGGAUAUGAGCCUUGAUCGCAUGAUCGGGGCUGGAAAGUUUUUCGGUUGAAGAUGACUUCGCGGCCUAUCAGCUUGUUGGUGAGGUAAUGGCUCACCAAGGCGACGACGGGUAGCCGGCCUGAGAGGGCGACCGGCCACACUGGGACUGAGACACGGCCCAGACUCCUACGGGAGGCAGCAGUGGGGAAUAUUGGGCAAUGGAGGAAACUCUGACCCAGCGACGCCGCGUGAGGGAUGAAGGCCUUCGGGUUGUAAACCUCUUUCAGUAGGGAAGAAGCGAAAGUGACGGUACCUACAGAAGAAGCACCGGCUAACUAUGUGCCAGCAGCCGCGGUAAUACAUAGGGUGCAAGCGUUGUCCGGAAUUAUUGGGCGUAAAGAGCUCGUAGGUGGUUCGAUACGUCGGAUGUGAAAAUCAGGGGCUCAACCCCUGACCUGCAUCCGAUACGGUCGAGCUAGAGUUUGGUAGGGGAGACUGGAAUUCCUGGUGUAGCGGUGGAAUGCGCAGAUAUCAGGAGGAACACCGAUGGCGAAGGCAGGUCUCUGGGCCAAUACUGACACUGAGGAGCGAAAGCGUGGGGAGCGAACAGGAUUAGAUACCCUGGUAGUCCACGCCGUAAACGGUGGGCGCUAGUUGUGCGAACCUUCCACGGUUUGUGCGACGCAGCUAACGCAUUAAGCGCCCCGCCUGGGGAGUACGAUCGCAAGAUUAAAACUCAAAGGAAUUGACGGGGCCCCGCACAAGC
RNAcentral lists this ribosomal RNA (838 nucleotides) under uncultured organism. RNAcentral's name for it is "bacterial SSU rRNA". It matches the Rfam family "Bacterial small subunit ribosomal RNA", at positions 77 to 930 of the family's 1533-position model. The record is from RNAcentral.